GCCCACGUAGCUCAGUGGUAGAGCACAUCCAUGGUAAGGAUGGAGUCACCGGUUCAAGUCCGGUCGUGGGCU
This 72-nucleotide transfer RNA is filed under the name Acetohalobium arabaticum DSM 5501. It matches the Rfam family "tRNA". From Rfam's summary of the family: Transfer RNA (tRNA) molecules are approximately 80 nucleotides in length. Their secondary structure includes four short double-helical elements and three loops (D, anti-codon, and T loops). Further hydrogen bonds mediate the characteristic L-shaped molecular structure. tRNAs have two regions of fundamental functional importance: the anti-codon, which is responsible for specific mRNA codon recognition, and the 3' end, to which the tRNAs corresponding amino acid is attached (by aminoacyl-tRNA synthetases). tRNAs cope with the degeneracy of the genetic code in two manners: having more than one tRNA (with a specific anti-codon) for a particular amino acid; and 'wobble' base-pairing, i.e. permitting non-standard base-pairing at the 3rd anti-codon position. Lineage: Bacteria; Bacillati; Bacillota; Clostridia; Halanaerobiales; Halobacteroidaceae. The record is from Rfam by way of RNAcentral.